CCCUGAACUCACAUGUGUGCAUGCAAUGU
Molecule: non-coding RNA, 29 nt
Filed under: Homo sapiens (human)
Lineage: Eukaryota; Metazoa; Chordata; Mammalia; Primates; Hominidae
Source: RNAcentral